UCAUAUCCAUUUUGUAAGUCGCUCUGGAUAAGAGCGUCUGCUAAAUGACUUAAA
Non-coding RNA from Salmo salar (Atlantic salmon), 54 nucleotides. Lineage: Eukaryota; Metazoa; Chordata; Actinopteri; Salmoniformes; Salmonidae. The record is from Rfam.